GAUGAACGCUGGCGGCGUGCCUAAUACAUGCAAGUCGAGCGAACAGACGAGGAGCUUGCUCCUCUGACGUUAGCGGCGGACGGGUGAGUAACACGUGGAUAACCUACCUAUAAGACUGGGAUAACUUCGGGAAACCGGAGCUAAUACCGGAUAAUAUAUUGAACCGCAUGGUUCAAUAGUGAAAGACGGUUUUGCUGUCACUUAUAGAUGGAUCCGCGCCGCAUUAGCUAGUUGGUAAGGUAACGGCUUACCAAGGCAACGAUGCGUAGCCGACCUGAGAGGGUGAUCGGCCACACUGGAAAUGAGACACGGUCCAGAAUCCUACGGGAGGCAGCAGUAGGGAAUCUUACGCAAUGGGCGAAAGCCUGACGGAGCAACGCCGCGUGAGUGAUGAAGGUCUUCGGAUCGUAAAACUCUGUUAUUAGGGAAGAACAAAUGUGUAAGUAACUAUGCACGUCUUGACGGUACCUAAUCAGAAAGCCACGGCUAACUACGUG
Molecule: ribosomal RNA, 497 nt
Filed under: uncultured bacterium
Lineage: Bacteria
Description: partial 16S ribosomal RNA
Rfam family: Bacterial small subunit ribosomal RNA
Source: RNAcentral